GCUCCCAUGGCGUAGUGGUCACUGCACUCGCCUUGCACGCGGGAGACCCGGGUUCAAUUCCCGGCAGGGUCA
This 72-nucleotide transfer RNA is filed under the name Diaphorina citri (Asian citrus psyllid). It matches the Rfam family "tRNA". From Rfam's summary of the family: Transfer RNA (tRNA) molecules are approximately 80 nucleotides in length. Their secondary structure includes four short double-helical elements and three loops (D, anti-codon, and T loops). The record is from Rfam by way of RNAcentral. Lineage: Eukaryota; Metazoa; Arthropoda; Insecta; Hemiptera; Psyllidae.